AUGCCGCUGCUGCUGCGGCUGUUCAUAGACGGGAGGUACGUUGGCGUCGCUGACGAGGUGGUUGCGCUGCACGAGCAGUCGCGGCUCUGGUCGGUGCUCCGCCGAGCAGCCAGGCGCGUGCGAGGCGGCCUGCGAGGUGUGCGGCGACACCUGGUUCGUCGUGUGCGGAGGUGGACUGCACGGUGUGUGGCGACAAGGAUUCAGGGAGAUGCGGGUGAAAGGAAGAAGGAGAAGACCACGGGGAAUAUUUGGUAUUACGGUAUUUUUUUUGGGAUCCGUUCCAAUGUAGCCUGCACGGUACCACAAAACAGGUUUAAGGUUCCCCUUAUAAUGCUUUUACGGUACCGCGAUAUAAGGGAUCUACUAGAGAUGCUCUUAGUGAUGAGUACAGGUAUAACCCGUAUAACAUCUUCUCAUGAAAGUUAG
Molecule: ribosomal RNA, 426 nt
Filed under: Triticum aestivum (bread wheat)
Lineage: Eukaryota; Viridiplantae; Streptophyta; Magnoliopsida; Poales; Poaceae
Description: partial small subunit ribosomal RNA
Source: RNAcentral